Molecule: non-coding RNA, 246 nt
Organism: Microcebus murinus (gray mouse lemur)
Lineage: Eukaryota; Metazoa; Chordata; Mammalia; Primates; Cheirogaleidae
Source: RefSeq, a predicted model, not a curated record
GCAGCACCACUGUCCUCGCCUCUCUCAGGGUGCCUGACCGGCGACGCGCCAAGUCCGGCAGCAGCUCUAAGUUCCUUCAAGGGAAAGGAAUGAACCCUUCAUAUACAGAAACAUGAUUUGAACUCAAGAUAUUUAAUAUAUAUGGAAAGAACUCAACAUCUGGUUGUUAAAAACUUUACGAGACUCCUCCUCAUUUAAACCAGCUCCAUUUAAAAAGGCCAGAACAAACUCAAUGAUUUGUGCAUU